GAUGAAGAACGUAGCAAAAUGCGAUACUUGGUGUGAAUUGCAGAAUCCCGUGAACCAUCGAGUUUUUGAACGCAAGUUGCGCCCGAGGCCUUUUGGCCGAGGGCACGUCUGCCUGGGCGUCACGCAUCGCGUCGCCCCCCACAAUUCUCCGUAAAGGGAACGUGUGUUUUGGGGGCGGAUAUUGGUCUCCCGUGCUCAUGGCGUGGUUGGCCGAAAUAGGAGUCCUUUCGAUGGACGCACGAACUAGUGGUGGUCGUAAAAACCCUCGUCUUUUGUUUCGUGCUGUUGCUCGCAAGGUAAACUCUUUAAAAACCCCAAUGUGUCGUCUCUUGACGACGCUUCGACCGCGACCCCAGGUCAGGCGGGACUACCCGCUGAGUUUAAGCAUAUCAAUAAGCGGAGGA
This 404-nucleotide unclassified non-coding RNA is filed under the name soil metagenome. Its description in RNAcentral is "partial contains 5.8S ribosomal RNA, internal transcribed spacer 2, and large subunit ribosomal RNA". The stretch from base 1 to 122 matches the Rfam family "5.8S ribosomal RNA", at positions 35 to 154 of the family's 154-position model. The record is from RNAcentral.